CAGGGAAUAUUAGUAAUGGGCGAAAGCCUGAACUAGCAACGCCGCGUGUGCGAAGAAGGCCUUCGGGUUGUAAAGCACUUUUUGAGAGGAUGAGGAAGGACGGUACUCUCAGAAUAAGUCUCGGCUAACUACGUGCCAGCAGCCGCGGUACACGUAGGAGGCGAACGUUAUCCGGAUUUACUGGGCGUAAAGCGCGUGUAGGUGGUUUGGUAAGUAGGGCGUGAAAGCUCCUGGCUCAACUGGGAGAGGCCGUUCUAAGCUGCCGAACUAGAGGAUGGUAGAGGGAGGUGGAAUUCCGGGUGUAGCGGUGGAAUGCGCAGAUAUCCGGAGGAACACCAGUGGCGAAAGCGGCCUCCUGGACCACUCCUGACACUCAGACGCGAAAGCUAGGGUAGCAAACGG
RNAcentral lists this ribosomal RNA (402 nucleotides) under uncultured bacterium. Its description in RNAcentral is "bacterial SSU rRNA". It matches the Rfam family "Bacterial small subunit ribosomal RNA", at positions 355 to 775 of the family's 1533-position model. The record is from RNAcentral.